AUCAGUAAGCAGAUGUGGGAAUAGAAGCCUAACAGAAUUCUACCUAGACCACAUUGUUGUCCUCUUCACAAGCACAGAGAUGGAGGAAUGAUCUCUCUUUUCCAUUCCUCUGUGGGUGAGGAAAUAAAUGCCAUGGCAGAGGCUGCUAGAUGGUCAACAAAAGGCUGCCAAUUCCAGAUUUUCCCUGAUGUCCAAAGUCCAGAUGGUGG
Choloepus didactylus (southern two-toed sloth) is the source of this 209-nucleotide long non-coding RNA. RefSeq lists it as uncharacterized. The record is from RefSeq and is a predicted model, not a curated record. The transcript has 3 exons. Lineage: Eukaryota; Metazoa; Chordata; Mammalia; Pilosa; Megalonychidae.